Molecule: ribosomal RNA, 253 nt
Filed under: uncultured bacterium
Lineage: Bacteria
Description: partial 16S ribosomal RNA
Rfam family: Bacterial small subunit ribosomal RNA
Source: RNAcentral
GACGUAGGGGGCGAGCGUUGUCCGGAUUUAUUGGGCGUAAAGCGUGCGUAGGCGGCUGCGCAAGUCGGGUGUGGAACCCCGGGGCUCAACCCCGGAACUGCAUCCGAUACUGCGUGGCUAGAGGUAGGUAGGGGAGAUCGGAAUUCCUGGUGUAGCGGUGAAAUGCGCAGAUAUCAGGAAGAACACCCGUGGCGAAGGCGGCUCUCUGGGACGGUACUGACGCUGAGACGCGAAAGCGUGGGAAGCAAACAGG